CCUACGGGCGGCAGCAGUGGGGAAUAUUGGACAAUGGGGGCAACCCUGAUCCAGCCAUGUCGCGUGUGUGAAGAAGGCCCUCGGGUUGUAAAGCACUUUCAGUGAGGAAGAACGCCUGGUGGUGAAUACCCAUCAGGAAAGACAUCACUCACAGAAGAAGCACCGGCUAACUCCGUGCCAGCAGCCGCGGUAAUACGGAGGGUGCGAGCGUUAAUCGGAAUUACUGGGCGUAAAGCGCGCGUAGGUGGCUUGAUAAGCCGGUUGUGAAAGCCCCGGGCUCAACCUGGGAACGGCAUCCGGAACUGUCAAGCUAGAGUGCAGGAGAGGAAGGUAGAAUUCCCGGUGUAGCGGUGAAAUGCGUAGAGAUCGGGAGGAAUACCAGUGGCGAAGGCGGCCUUCUGGACUGACACUGACACUGAGGUGCGAAAGCGUGGGUAGCAAACAGGAUUAGAUACCCCAGUAGUC
RNAcentral lists this ribosomal RNA (465 nucleotides) under Vreelandella stevensii. RNAcentral describes it as "partial 16S ribosomal RNA". It matches the Rfam family "Bacterial small subunit ribosomal RNA", at positions 338 to 795 of the family's 1533-position model. The record is from RNAcentral. Lineage: Bacteria; Pseudomonadati; Pseudomonadota; Gammaproteobacteria; Oceanospirillales; Halomonadaceae.